AGAUUGAACGCUGGCGGCAUGCCUAACACAUGCAAGUCGAACGGGAGUAGCAAUACUCUAGUGGCGGACGGGUGAGGAAUACGUAGGAAUUUGCCCUUAAGUGGGGGAUAACCCGGGGAAACCCGGAUUAAUACCGCAUGACCUCGAAAGAGCAAAGUGGGGGAUCGCAAGACCUCACGCUUUUGGAGAAGCCUACGUCGGAUUAGCUAGUUGGUGAGGUAAUGGCUCACCAAGGCGACGAUCCGUAACUGGUCUGAGAGGAUGAUCAGUCACACCGGAACUGAGACACGGUCCGGACUCCU
RNAcentral lists this ribosomal RNA (302 nucleotides) under uncultured soil bacterium. RNAcentral's name for it is "bacterial SSU rRNA". It matches the Rfam family "Bacterial small subunit ribosomal RNA", at positions 26 to 340 of the family's 1533-position model. The record is from RNAcentral.